AGAUCAUGUUGCAGCUUCACU
This 21-nucleotide microRNA is filed under the name Oryza sativa (Asian cultivated rice). Its description in RNAcentral is "osa-miR167i-3p". Its record names the gene osa-miR167e-3p. Lineage: Eukaryota; Viridiplantae; Streptophyta; Magnoliopsida; Poales; Poaceae. RNAcentral also lists the same sequence under 1 other name. The record is from miRBase by way of RNAcentral.